GUCGAGCGAAUGGAUUAAGAGACUUGCUCUUAUGAAGUUAGCGGCGGACGGGUGAGUAACACGUGGGUAACCUGCCCAUAAGACUGGGAUAACUCACGCGGGAAACCGGGGCUAAUACCGGAUAGACAUUUUGAACCGCAUGGUUCGAAAUUGAAAGGCGGCUUCGGCUGUCACUUAUGGAUGGACCCGCGUCGCAUUAGCUAGUUGGUGAUGGUAACGGCUCACCAAGGCAACGAUGCGUAGCCGACCUGAGAGGGUGAUCGGCCACACUGGGACUGAGACACGGCCCAGACUCCUACGGGAGGCAGCAGUAGGGAAUCUUCCGCAAUGGACGAAAGUCUGACGGAGCAACGCCGCGUGAGUGAUGAAGGCUUUCGGGUCGUAAAACUCUGUUGUUAGGGAAGCAACAAGUGCUAGUUGAAUAAGCUGGCACCUUGACGGUACCUAACCAGAAAGCCACGGCUAACUACGUGCCAGCAGCCGCGGUAAUACGUAGGUGGCAAGCGUUAUCCGGAAUUAUUGGGCGUAAAGCGCGCGCAGGUGGUUUCUUAAGUCUGAUGUGAAAGCCCACGGCUCAACCGUGGAGGGUCAUUGGAAACUGGGAGACUUGAGUGCAGAAGAGGAAAGUGGAAUUCGCAUGUGUAGCGGUGAAAUGCGUAGAGAUCAUGGAGGAACACGCAGUGGCGAAGGCGACUUUCUGGUCUGUACACACUGACACUGAGGCCGCGAAAGCGUGGGGAGCAAACAGGCGAUUAGAUAACCCUGGUAGUCCACGCCGUAAACGAUGAGUGC
RNAcentral lists this ribosomal RNA (792 nucleotides) under Bacillus sp. KK1(2015). Its description in RNAcentral is "bacterial SSU rRNA". It matches the Rfam family "Bacterial small subunit ribosomal RNA", at positions 61 to 816 of the family's 1533-position model. Lineage: Bacteria; Bacillati; Bacillota; Bacilli; Caryophanales; Bacillaceae. The record is from RNAcentral.